Molecule: ribosomal RNA, 1641 nt
Filed under: Triticum aestivum (bread wheat)
Lineage: Eukaryota; Viridiplantae; Streptophyta; Magnoliopsida; Poales; Poaceae
Description: partial small subunit ribosomal RNA
Source: RNAcentral
AUGAGGGUGACCUCCGUGGUGCACAGGACACCGAUAACUGCCACACAUGUGCUGUAUUGGGUGGUUGUGCCGCACGCCUCGUGUGGCAUGGAGAAGAACCCGCCCGCACGACCGCGUCCGGGCGCGCGCAGCCACAGCCCGCACGUCCGUGUGUGCAACAUUCAUGAUUGUUCACAUUUGCGUAUUGAGCUCAAGCCUAGAAUACAAGUUUUGAUGCUAGAGUAUAAUGGUUGCCAUGUGUUGGCAACAGUAGUUGCCAUGUAUGUUGGACUGUAUCUGCCAUUGCUAUGUGCUGCAGGUUCUGGAAGCUGGUUGCCAUGUGUGGGCAACAGUAGUUGCCAUGACCUUCAACUACAAUUAACAGCGGUGCGGGGACAUCUACUGCGGGGAGCUCUGAGCGCACGGAAGACGCGUUCCACCAACCAGCCAACACUCAUGCCACAAACCGAGUCAGUGUCGGAAAUGGCAAUCGUGCCAGCAAUACCGACAAGCACACCUGUGCACACCAGCACAAGCAACACUCAAGCAGGUGAAACAGCCACCGAUACUGAAGUGAAUGAUGAAACCGAUGACGAAGCACUAGGGGAUGAAGAUGGUGGGCAAUCAGAAAUCAUGGUACCCCAGUCACCGUAUCUUGGGCAGAUAUUUGAUUCGUUUGAAGAUGCAAAGGAAUUCUACCAGACAUAUGCAAAGUUCCAUGGGUUUGCGGUCAACACCGAAUACCAUAGGAAAAUUAAAAAAACUAACGAGUACAGCAGAGGUGAGAUGAGGUGCUACAAGGCACGAAGAAACAAGAAGGGCAAAGGUGAUGCGCCUGUCGUUCCGGAACGAAAGAGAGGUAUCAUUGUCAAGACGGAAUGCCCUGUCCGGUGUAAGCUGAACGUAGAUGGAGCACAGUGGGUGGUAACUGAAUAUUUUGACGAGCACAACCACGAGCUAAUAAAGAAGUUUGACCUGGUAAAAUUUCUGACCGCCCACAGAGGAUUCACCCCCCUCGAGAAGAAAUUCAUAAAGCUGCUACAUGAUUGUAACGUCGGUCCAUCAAGAAUGGUGCAGAUACUCUCCCUCAUCCACAGCAAAAAGGGUCUAUUCCAGGAAGAAAUAAAGCGUGCCAGCAUGUACACGGCUUUCCAGGUGGACGAACAUACGUUCAAGGUGUGUUCUAUCAUGGGCAUGUCCGAUUCAGAACCUGAAGACCCAGACAAGGGAAGGAACUACUUUGUGAAGGCAUCGAUAAGCGAAGGCGGAUACUACUGCCAAUGCUGCAAAUUCGAACGAGGUGGGAUUGUGUGCUGUCACAUUCUAAAAGCUGAACUAAUUGAUGAAGCGUGCAAGAGUGAUGGGACAGCAAGGGUCGCAGAAAAACACAGGAAGGCCCUCAAAAGAGAGCUUGAUGAGAUCAAGAAGAGGAAAGCUGAGGAAGCCUUACACAGGUUCCCCCGCACAUCAAGUGUGCCUUCGUCCACAGGGCCAUCAUCUGAAAACUCGGAGGUAGGAUCUGGAACAGCAAGCACACAAACACAGGUUAGGAACCCGCCCCGUUCCAUCACAAAAGGGCAUCCAAAAGAGAUAAGAUACAAAUCGGGAUUGGAGAUUCAAGCAAAACACAAGAAACCAAAGAAAGGGACGGGCAAUCCGUAA